UGUAUACUGGCUGAAAUUUCUACGUCUCAAAAGUUCAAGUGUCAAAAUUAAAAAGUGAGUCAAUUCCUUCCGGUGGCGUCUGGUCGCCAUUUUGUUCGCAAUAAAUUAGUGUUGUAGGAUUGUGUCGCUUUUUAUCGGGGGAAAAUGUCACGUUACGGUGACUGCAAAGUAUAUGUGGGAGAUUUAGGCAACAAUGCAAGCAAGCCUGAACUUGAAGAUGCAUUUUCAUAUUACGGACCCUUGAGAAAUGUGUGGGUUGCUAGAAACCCACCCGGCUUCGCUUUUGUAGAAUUUGAAGACCCCCGGGAUGCCGAAGACGCUAUACGCGGCUUAGAUGGAAGAACAAUAUGUGGACGACGUGCUCGUGUAGAAAUGUCCAAUGGGGGACGAGGUUACGGGGGCCGUGGGCCGCCACCUAGGUCUCGCCUGCCGCCUCGGCCCUAUGACGACCGCUGUUAUGACUGUGGAGACAGAGGACAUUAUGCUCGUGAUUGUACACGCCGCCGCCGCCGCAGGUUAUCAUUGGCCUGUGCGCCGAGAACGAACUCGUCAGUGUCUGCACUUCUUAUUGUCUGCGCUACGUAGCUUUCACUCCGCGGCGUGUACUCCGAUUGAGUUGGUCGCAUCAUUACUUCGCUCGCUCUGCGAACUACGUAGCUACAGCCUACGUGCACACUUCACUUGUCGAGACCGUCAUUGAGAGUAAAGUUCGUUCUGCGCGUCGCAACGCACGUCUAAUGUAAUCACUGCGUGCACUCACCGAUCAAGGUCCCGCCGCCGCACGCGCUCCCGCUCUCCGCGCUCGGGCUCCCGCUCCCGCAGCCGCAGCCGCUCUCGCUCGCGCUCCAAGGCACGAUCCAUGUCGCGGUCAAGAUCUCGUUCUCCAUCCAAAGAUUC
Molecule: RNA transcript, 897 nt
Organism: Helicoverpa zea (corn earworm)
Lineage: Eukaryota; Metazoa; Arthropoda; Insecta; Lepidoptera; Noctuidae
Gene name: serine/arginine-rich splicing factor 7-like
Exons: 5
Source: RefSeq, a predicted model, not a curated record